This 338-nucleotide ribosomal RNA is filed under the name uncultured bacterium. Its description in RNAcentral is "bacterial SSU rRNA". It matches the Rfam family "Bacterial small subunit ribosomal RNA", at positions 568 to 898 of the family's 1533-position model. The record is from RNAcentral.
UACCGAUGGGUGGUUUUACAAGUCAGAAGUGAAAUCUUAAGGCUCAACCUUGAGACUGUCUUUUGAAACUGUAAAACUAGAGGGGCAAAGAGGAAGCUGGAACGAACGGUGUAGUAGUGAAAUGCGUUGAUAUCGUUCGGAACACCAAUAGCGUAGGCAGGCUUCUGGGUGCCACCUGACACUGCUAGGACGAAAGCGUGGGGAGCGAUAAGGAUUAGAUACCCUUGUAGUCCACGCUGUAAACGAUGCGCAUUAGGCGCUAGCGAGUAUCGACCCUCGUUAGUGCCCUAGCUAACGCGAUAAAUGCGCCGCCUGGGGAGUACGGCCGCAAGGCUAAA